AUGGCCGGCCAGCCCUGGCUGGUGGCCUGUAACACAUCCAACUGGCUUAGCAGUCUCCCACAGCAGGAAGCAGAGGACCCCACAGGGCUGAACUGUACCUCUGUCCUUGUAGCCACUGCUUGCCCGGGGUCACUGAUACCAUGUGGCAGUUCUGGGGUCCCCUCUGGUCCCACCAGCCUGAACUGCCAAGGCGUGAUGCUGCUCCCUGCUGACACCCUUUCAGCUCCCCUCCCACUUACCUGCAGCUGGGACAGCCUCUUCAGCAAGCCCUCCCUCACUGCCCCACCGGGCUUUCCCCGGAGCUCAGCUGGAGCCAGCAGGGCCCUGCCCUCCCUCUCCUGGGAGGCAUCAGAGAGGAGCCGGACCGUUUCCUUACCGUGGCACUGUGGCUGCUGUCAACAGGCCUUGGGGCAGGAUGCAGCUCGUGGUGGAAGAUGCCCUGGGUUCCAUCCCCAGCACUUGGAAAGAAACAAACUGGAAAAUCUGUGAUUCCAGGUACAGAUGGGCUCUUGCCAGGCUGGCACAGGGGCCCAGUGGGCGUUUGGUUUCGGUGGAAGGAAACUUAAGCCCCACAGCACUGCGGUCACGGUAGCUGGAGUGGCUAAAACCUCAGGCAGGCCAGGCCUGGUGAUGCAAGCUCCCUUCGCAGGCUGCUCACGUCCUCUCCGGGGACAGCGAGAGCGGCCAAAGGGGUGUUGGACGGAUGGGGCUCGGAGCCCGCGUCACAGCCGCUGCUCGGACCAUGUUCUCGGACCAGCCAGAGCCGACCGUCCCCUGCAUCAGAAGCACCUCAGUCUGAGGCGCCCCAGGCCCUGGAAGGGCUCCACGCCUGCACAUCUCCCUGGCCCGGGGAACAGAAACUGGCCCUGAACUGCUCAGGGUGGCUCACACCUGGCGCCGGGGUAGUGGACGCAAACACUGCUGUUUCGGGUCAAAUUCCAGGAAACAGCCAAGGCCCAGCAGCGGAACACCUGGGAGUGACCCAGACAGGCGCCCUUUGCAGGCUGGGGGAAGGGGCUGAGGUGUGGGGGUGUCCUGGGAGAAGCAGGCCCAGCCCCUGGAGGGACCCUGGGGUUUCAGCGGGUACCCCAGACAGGGGGUCUGCGUGGAGAUCCAGGAGUGCUGGGCUUUGUCUCAAGUCUGGGACAGGCUGUGGGAGCCCCGCAGCUCCCAGCCCCGCUCUGGGCCUCCGCUGUGAAACCGCAGGGCGAGUUGGCAGAUGUUCGGCUCAGACUGGGAGGCGGGCGCAGUGGCAGCUCCCUGGGAAGGGCUGCCUUCUGCCCUGCGUGGUGUGACCAGAACUAUGGCGAGUGUUCAGAUUUUAAAAUGAAAACCUCGUCACAAUGAAAGACAUAUCGCUCCGAAUCCCUCUGGGUAGAGUCUCCCUCACGGAGCACAACUCCCCAUUGUCCCUGUGACUUUCUGAAGCAGUUCUGGAAGUUCUCUUUUGUGAGUGUUUUUUCUUGAGGGCCUCGGUGUCCUGAACUGGUUUCCAAAUGUUUAUGGCAAUUUCUUCAGGAUGAAGACAUGACAGUGCAUCCUCAUCCACCUUUCUGAAUCUUUCAGAACCCGCGACUUCUGGCUCUUUCUCAAAGGCAAAACGACCAUGAGAAGAAAAAAGUUUGAACGGAUGCUGGACAUAGAGGCAGCCAUGAUAGCACAACUAGAGACACAAAAGAGGACCCCCAGUGGCAAAGAUGACGGGAUGAGUGUGUUCAAAGUGAGGGGCAGUAAUUGGGGAGGGAUGAAUGGCAACGUGUCUUUAUAUUUUAUUUUUUAUUUUUUGGUUUUUUUGAGGCAGGGUCUCACCAUGUAGUUGAGACUGACCCGGAACUCAGUAUGUAGCCCAGGCUGGUCUUGAACUCACAGCGAUCCUCCUGCCUCAGCCUCUCGAAUGCUGGGAUUACAGACGUGUGCCACCUUGCCCAGCUGGCAAUGUGUCUUUUACUGUAAUAAUUUUAAAAAAUAAUCUAAACAUUGACCGUAAUUUUGGAUCACGCUGCAUGGAUUUGGAUGCUGGAUGGGACCACGUUGGAACCAAAGGUCCCGAGGUCCAUGCCGUGGGAGCCGCAGCUCUGGGUCAGCCAGCCAGGCAGCCCUGAGCCCCAAGCUGUCCCCUGCCUGGUGCCUAAGCGUGGACUUGGAGACAACCAGUCUGGGCUCGAACCCCACAGCUCCCACACGCUGGCUGUCUGAUCUUUGGUGAUGUACUUGACCCCUCUUGGCUUCAGUACCUAAAUCUGUGACGCAGAGACGAUAAUGUCUUCCUCACAGGGUUGUCGGGAGCACAGCGUGGAUUCUGUGGCUCACAUUCUCCCCUCCCACACCCUUGCUGGGCUGCGGGACGCAUCUCAGGGAAUGAAGUUCUGCCGUCCCACGAGUCACGGGCUUCUGGAGGCUGCCAUGUUGGGAAGGAGCCAAGGAUGAUCCCAAGUCCCAGAGCCCGUGUUCAUUCAUUCGUUCUUUUUCUUUACCUGUGCUGGGGCUGGAACCCAGGGCUCCGUGCAGACUGAGACAAGUGCUGUACUACUGAGCCCACACCCGCCUUCAUUUAUUAUGGACUAAUUUUCUGUCUUCCCUGCUCCUAAACGGAACGUCCAUCCCAGGGCAGCUGGGACCCAUAUCUUGUUCCUUAGUCCUAGCCAGGCAGCGCUGGGUACCCAGGAACAAGGCAGAGGCGGAGGGAGUGGAAAAGCUCUGUGACAACUCAAGGAAUCUGUCAGUCCUGGCUCAAAUUCAUCUUGUCACUUUCUCACUGUGUGACUUGGGCCAGGUUACUUGACUUCUCUGGGCCUCUGUUGUGCACCAGAUGUGUUGUUGUACCGAUAAAAUGGGAUAAGGGCAUAAAAGUGCUCAUACAUUCCUGGGCUCGACACGCCGCAGUGGGGCCCGGCUUGUGACUCUCUGCUGUCCUCCUCCUCCUCCCUCCCCGCUCCCUGGACCCUUUGCUGUGAGCUGGGUACCUUCUGUCCAAAAGAAAUGCAGGCGUGUGCGUGACCAGUGGGGUCAUCUGAGGACCAGCCCUUCCAGUCGGUGAACACGGUUUCCCCGCAGCUGUGUGGCCUCCUCCCGGAAGCGGGUAUCAGGCCUCAUUCUGGCCAGGAAAGGCCUCUGCCAGCCACCCGGGCCACUUCUCCUGGGCCCAUGAAAGAGACGCGGGUGCCAUCAUCCAGCUGACCAAGGCCUGCGGCUUUCACGGACCUCUGGCCUUGCCCAGAAGCAGGACUCUCAGAGCCCCGCUGGAAAAUACGGGGUGUCCGGAACCCUGCGAACUUUAGAUAAACGACAGGCGUGAAUGUGAAGCUCACGUAUGUGGCGGGCUCCGCACACGCGCUGAACAACUGCUCGCAUUUGAUCUGAAAUGCAGCGCGAACUGGCCCGUCUCUUCUCUUUAGGGUCCAGCGGCUUUGCCCUGGGCCUCCCUCUGCUGGGAGCUCCCGGGUCUCAGCUCCAUCUUGGCAGUGGCAGAAACAACCCAGGCCAGGACAGUGAGUCCCGAUGGGAGUGGGUCUCUGUCCUCGGGGCCUCAGUUUCCCCAUCCACGUCCCUCAGCGGUCGGACUUGGUGCUGCCUCCUUGGGAAUGAACCGUGUGAGGUGCGUGGGCAUGCGUUUUGGCAGUGGGUGUUGUGCAAACCCUGGGCCCAGGUUCCCUGUUAAUGGCUAAUAGACCAGCUGCAGGAGGCUAUUUCUGGCUACUGGUUCCUUUUUCCUAAAAGUAGUUUGUUUUUUUAAACAAGCAAUUUGUGAGCAUCCUAGAAGCAUUAAAAAGUAGGGCGGAAACCCUGAUUCCAUCUCCCAGAGACAACCAUUUAUAACAUUCUUUAUUCUUUAUUCUUUUUUUUUUGGUACCAGGGAUCGAACUUGGGACCUUGCGCUUGUGAGGCAGGCGCUGGAACCACUGAGCUAAAUCCCCGGCCCUUGGCAUACUUUAUUCCUGAAGAAAAGGGCGAAGCUUUCUAUCCAG
RNAcentral lists this long non-coding RNA (3965 nucleotides) under Fukomys damarensis (Damara mole-rat). Its description in RNAcentral is "lncRNA (ENSFDAG00000031212.1)". Lineage: Eukaryota; Metazoa; Chordata; Mammalia; Rodentia; Bathyergidae. The record is from RNAcentral.